UGGAACCUGGCUGUCCAGGUGUUGAAGGGUAGAGAUAGACCCAGGAUGACCAAUGACAGGAAACCCAUCUGGUUGUUUAAAUACGGUGCUAGGCAACUGGCAGUCACCCAGGCAACCGACGGGGUUGGGGAAGUCCAGCAAGAGGUGACAGCGGGUCCUGAUGACAGGACUGACUUGCCCUCCGAGGCAGGCCACGGAAGCAGGCACUAUUCAAAGAUCCAGGCAGGUGGUCGGCGUUGGGGACGUCUGUCAGCUGCAGGGAUGAGAUGCCAGGCCUUGGGCAGAGCAAGAGCAAGACAGCCUUCCGGGACCAGGGCAACUGGAGCCCGUGGAUGUUGUCAAGAAGGGUCUCAUGAUGUUGUUCAAGCUGAUCUCACACGUCUGGGCUCAAGUGAUCCUCCUGCCCCGGCCUCCUAAAGUGAUCCUCCUGCCUCGGCCUCCUAAAGUGAUCCUCCUGCCCCGGCCUCCUAAAGUGAUCCUCCUGCCUCAGCCUCCUAAAGUGCUAGGAUUAUAGGCAAGAGCCACCAUGCCCAGCUCAAAGGUUGAGCACCUUGUGUGCCAGGUGCCACUCAGGGUGCUGGGGACAGAGCAAUAACCAAGACAAAGUUCCGUUUUUCAGGGAAUGUAAAUGCCGGAAGAUGGAGACAGUUGAAUACACAAGUGAGCAAGAUUUAACAAGGCUCAGAUAAUGCCGUGAAGUAAACAAAAUACAGCUUUAUGAUAUCCUUUUAGAUUCAACAAAUCAGAAACAAGACAACCAUAUGUAGGAGAGUUGCAGUUGGUGACUAUGGAGAUUUUUCACAGCUGUCCACAGAGCCACCUGGCAGAUGAAUUAGGAGCAACCAGGCCCACAGGCAAGGCAUGGACUAAGAGAUAUCAGAAUUUUCAUCUUGUCUGAAGAGUUUUAAAAUUAAUAGAAAUCCUAGUUAAGAUUUAUACUGUAAGAAGACCCAGGGAGAAAGAGAGAGACAGGGAGUGAAUAAAAACUCAUUUUCAUGGGUUGGAUCUAAAUGUCCAUCAACCUUCAUAUGGAUGAGGGAUGGAUUGGGGCAGGGAGCAGGAGGGAAGCUGAGAUCAUUCACCUACAAGGGUGGUUUCUACAUCGGUGCGCGCUCUUCAACGUGGGUUCUUCACAUUCCAGCCCCAGGUGGGUCCUUCCAGAUGUGCAUCCAGGACACGAUAGGCUGAAAUGGUGGGAGAAUUAUGGAGAAAGGGUGGCUGUGGAGUCAAACGCCGUAUUUAAAAUAGGAUUCUGUUAAAUCCCAGCUAACUGUCCGCCAAUUGGUGGAAGAAUUCCUGGAAAUCGGUGUUCACAGCAGGAGGAGGAGAGAUUUUUUUUCUGGGCUGCUUAUAAGAAAUCAAUGGAAACAAUAAACAUGUGUCCUAACAUAUCCCAUAUGUUAGGAAAUAAGAUUUUCUGCUGUGGGAAUAUCUGCUGGCUUA
Molecule: long non-coding RNA, 1443 nt
Filed under: Callithrix jacchus (white-tufted-ear marmoset)
Lineage: Eukaryota; Metazoa; Chordata; Mammalia; Primates; Cebidae
Description: lncRNA (ENSCJAG00000069660.1)
Source: RNAcentral